This is a long non-coding RNA of Ipomoea nil (Japanese morning glory), 268 nucleotides long. RefSeq lists it as uncharacterized. NCBI's taxonomy places the organism in Eukaryota, Viridiplantae, Streptophyta, Magnoliopsida, Solanales, Convolvulaceae. The transcript is spliced from 3 exons. The record is from RefSeq and is a predicted model, not a curated record.
UAACCGAAUCAAAAAAAAAAAAAAGACAAAUAUGGUUCUAAGGCAAGCAAAUUUAGAAAACCACCAAGAUCGCUCUGUGUUAGACCUCACUCCUAAUCAACACUUCCAAUUCAUAUUAACUGUUCCCAAGUACCUUGUGGUCUGAUGGCAUAACUAUUACCAUUCCAAACGGAAGGUCUCAGGUUCGAGUCUUAUUCCAAUCAAGGGUGUUGACAUUAUCAUGUUGAGCAAAUACUAUGAAUAGGUUAGAUUGUAGUACUCAAAACAA